CAACGGGAGCCUGCGGCAAGCAACCAACCCGGACGAUCCGAUCUCCAUCUCCAUCUCCAUCUCCCGGCCGUCGGCCGCCUCCACGCACGGCGCGCGUACGUAUUACCACCAGCUCCUUAGCAUUUCCUAGCGGCGGUGGUUACCUCAUUGCUUUCACCCCAGGAAGAGGCAGUUGGCUUUUCCGUGCUAAAGCGGCGUCCGCUAGGGACGCCAAGUCGAUCGAUCGACCCAUCGCCGCCCUGGAAAAGUGAAAGCGUCGGCGAACACCCGAAAGAAGUCGUAAUUUUCCGGGCGCGCGCGCGUCCGGGGAAUCGGCCGAUCCGUAGGUUGAGAUGGCCGCGUCAACCAUCAACUGUGGCCGCCACCUUGCGCUUGUCCCGCGCACACGAACGGCGACGCAUGGGCGGGUGCAUUGGCGCGCAAGCAACGGUGCCCAUCUCGGUUGCGUCUCCCGGCGAGCAGCAGCCUCCGUCGUCCAUGGCAGCAAGGGGACAAGGGAAAGGGUUCGCGCCCGCGCUUUCUUGCGCGUGAAGGGUGCCCCCCGGAGGCGACGCGCGCGAACGCGUGGGGGCGGGCGGAUGAGGAAAAGCGCGAGUAAGAACCUGCGAGACGAAGCAAGCAAAUGCAAAGGGAGAAAGGUUGGAGCGAG
RNAcentral lists this long non-coding RNA (649 nucleotides) under Hordeum vulgare. RNAcentral describes it as "long non-coding RNA (HVUL_LNC010895)". The record is from RNAcentral. Lineage: Eukaryota; Viridiplantae; Streptophyta; Magnoliopsida; Poales; Poaceae.